This 366-nucleotide ribosomal RNA is filed under the name uncultured phototrophic eukaryote. RNAcentral describes it as "SSU rRNA". It matches the Rfam family "Bacterial small subunit ribosomal RNA", at positions 524 to 896 of the family's 1533-position model. The record is from RNAcentral.
UACGGAGGAUGCAAGUGUUAUCCGGAAUUAUUGGGCGUAAAGCGUCUGUAGGUUGCCUAACAAGUCUGUUGUUAAAGGUUAAAGCUUAACUUUAAAACUGCAGCAGAAACUGCUAGGCUUGAGUACAGUCGAAGUAGAGGGAAUUUCCAGUGAAGCGGUGAAAUGCGUAGAUAUUAGAAAGAACACCGGUGGCGAAAGCGCUCUACUGGACCAUUACUGACACUCAGAGGCGAAAGCUAGGGUAGCAAAAGGGAUUAGAUACCCCUGUAGUCCUAGCCGUAAACGAUGGAUACUAGAUGUUGCGUAUUUACAGUAUCGUAGCUAACGCGUUAAGUAUCCCGCCUGGGGAGUACGCUCGCAAGGGUG